This 1311-nucleotide ribosomal RNA is filed under the name Glaucomaria carpinea. RNAcentral's name for it is "eukaryotic LSU rRNA". It matches the Rfam family "Eukaryotic large subunit ribosomal RNA", at positions 65 to 1424 of the family's 3401-position model. The record is from RNAcentral. Lineage: Eukaryota; Fungi; Ascomycota; Lecanoromycetes; Lecanorales; Lecanoraceae.
CCAACAGGGAUUGCCUCAGUAACGGCGAGUGAAGCGGCAACAGCUCAAAUUUGAAAUCUGGCCUCUUUCGGGGUCCGAGUUGUAAUUUGUAGAGGAUGUUUCGGGCGCGGCGCCGGUCUAAGUCCCUUGGAACAGGGCGUCAUAGAGGGUGAGAAUCCCGUAUGUGACCGGCGAUCAACCCCACACGAAACCCCUUCGACGAGUCGAGUUGUUUGGGAAUGCAGCUCAAAAUGGGUGGUAAAUUUCAUCUAAAGCUAAAUACCGGCCAGAGACCGAUAGCGCACAAGUAGAGUGAUCGAAAGAUGAAAAGCACUUUGGAAAGAGAGUCAAAAAGUACGUGAAAUUGUUGAAAGGGAAGCGCUUGCAACCAGACCUGUCCGCCGGCGAUCAGCCUUCGUUCUCGGGGGUGCACUCGCCGGCGAUCAGGCCAGCAUCGGUUCGGGCGGCGGGAUAAAGGCCUUGGGAAUGUGGCUCCCCUCGGGGAGUGUUAUAGCCCUCGGUGCAAUGCCGCCAGCCCGGACCGAGGACCGCGCUUCGGCUAGGAUGCUGGCGUAAUGGUUGUAAGCGACCCGUCUUGAAACACGGACCAAGGAGUAUAAUAUCUAUGCGAGUGUUUGGGUGUUAAACCCAUGCGCGUAAUGAAAGUGAACGGAGGUGAGAACCCCUAAGGGCGCAUCAUCGACCGAUCCUGAUGUCUUCGGAUGGAUUUGAGUACGAGCAUAGCUGUUGUGACCCGAAAGAUGGUGAUCUAUACCUGAAUAGGGUGAAGCCAGAGGAAACUCUGGUGGAGGCUCGCAGCGGUUCUGACGUGCAAAUCGAUCGUCAAAUUUGGGUAUAGGGGCGCUUCCUAGGCUUUCGCCCCUUAUAGUCCCCGAGAUCUCUUGGUCUCGGGCCCUAGUUCGUUCCGAGCGAGGUCUGCGAUCUGGCGGGGAUGCUCACCACGGUGGGCUGCCCGCACCCGUCUCCAUGGAGGCCGGGCCACAGAUCAAGCGUAGGCCGGCACGCCUCUAAAAGGGGCGCGCUUUAGAUAUGAUCGGGCUGCGGCUGUCGAAGUCGCAGAUCUCCCGGAAAGACUAAUCGAACCAUCUAAACCCCAUCUACUGGAUGGUCGGAGCGGAUCCUGGCAAGGAUCCGACCAGUCCCCCUUGGGGGCCACAUCGCCAGUCUCCGGGUAUGUCUUCUGGCUACCCGUCGCGGGCCUUUCGGGGCUCGUUCACUGACUAAACGGCGGUGGCCGCGCCUUGGGCACGGUUGUGAGAUAGCCGAUUCCACCCCCGAUCCGGGGUGGUCGCAAGAGUAGCUGGUUCCUGC